RNAcentral lists this ribosomal RNA (742 nucleotides) under uncultured Acidobacteriota bacterium. RNAcentral's name for it is "bacterial SSU rRNA". It matches the Rfam family "Bacterial small subunit ribosomal RNA", at positions 56 to 794 of the family's 1533-position model. Lineage: Bacteria; Pseudomonadati; Acidobacteriota. The record is from RNAcentral.
UGCAAGUCGCGUGCGCAGUUCCUGUAGCAAUACAGGGAUGGGCGCACGGCGCACGGGUGCGUAACACGUGGGCAAUCUGCCCUUUGAUGGGGAAUAACCCGCCGAAAGGCGGGCUAAUUCCGCAUAAGAUUCUUUGAACUUCGGUUUGAAGAUUGAAAGCAGCAAUGCGUCGAAGGAGGAGCCCGCGCCCGAUUAGCUAGUUGGUAGGGUAACGGCCUACCAAGGCUAUGAUCGGUAGCUGGUCUGAGAGGAUGAUCAGCCACACUGGAACUGAGACACGGUCCAGACUCCUACGGGAGGCAGCAGUGGGGAAUCUUGCACAAUGGGCGAAAGCCUGAUGCAGCGACGCCGCGUGGGGGAUGAAGCAUCUCGGUGUGUAAACCCCUUUCGACUGGGAAGAAUGCCUCGCAAGAGGACUGACGGUACCAGUAUAAGAAGCCCCGGCUAACUACGUGCCAGCAGCCGCGGUAAGACGUAGGGGGCCAGCGUUGUUCGGAAUUACUGGGUGUAAAGGGUUCGUAGGCGGUGUGGCAAGUUGGGAGUGAAAUCUCUGGGCUCAACCCAGAGGCUGCUUCCAAAACUGCUGUGCUUGAGUGUGAGAGAGGCUCGUGGAAUUGCAGGUGUAGCGGUGAAAUGCGUAGAUAUCUGCAGGAACACCCGUGGCGAAAGCGGCGAGCUGGAUCACAACUGACGCUGAGGAACGAAAGCUAGGGGAGCAAACAGGAUUAGAUACCCUGGUAGU